This 1090-nucleotide unclassified non-coding RNA is filed under the name Hevea brasiliensis (rubber tree). The record is from RNAcentral. Lineage: Eukaryota; Viridiplantae; Streptophyta; Magnoliopsida; Malpighiales; Euphorbiaceae.
UGCUCCGCGCUUCCCACCGGCAUCGCCACCAGCUGAGCCAUCUCCGCCUGAUGAUUCUCCAAUCACCUUGUUGCUAUUAUUACCGCUAAUCCCAUUACCCUUCUUGGACAAUUCAGUCUUAAUCCCAUUAUUAUUCACAUUAACAACCUCAUCAAGGAGCUCCUGAGCGGCCUUCAAGUACUUGGAGCUCAACAACACCCCUUGAAUACCAGACACCCCAUUAUUAGUCACCCCUGAACCUGAGGAUGCUGACCCACCAGAGACCCUAAUAUCUUCACCUGACACCGCUUGAGCCUGUGACCCAUAACCCGGUUGCUGCUGUGACGAAAGGCUCAAAGAGAGUCCUUGCUGAGCGCGUGGAGUUUCACGCGCAGCCGUGGAAGGGUCAACUGGGUUGUAGAGAUUGUAAUGAAUCCUCGGAAUAAGUCCAUGCAAAGUAGAAGUGUCAUGGGAGUUAGGGUCCAAAGGUAUGCCGACAAAUUGCUGGGCGUUGGGAUGCGCGUGAGAGAGGUGCGGUGGAGGAGAAAGGUUGUUAGCGGCGGAGUUGAGGAAGAGGAGGUUGUUGGAAGACGGUGGCGGUGGAGUAUCGGAGUAUUGGACAUAAGUAGGGUUCAUGAGGACGAGGGUUUGAAGUCCUUCUGCUGAAGCUGAAGCUGCAGCUGCUGCUUGGAUUUCCGGAUUCCCAUGAAAGUACGUCGCCAUCGGAUUUGUUUUCUUGGGAAAAUUAUAGACUUUUUCUCUGGACUUGCGAUAGUGUGGAUGCGUUGAUCAACCCAUCAAAGAAAGAGUUGAAAUCGAUGGGAAUACUCUUACAGGGGGAAACUCUGAUAUUCUGUUUUCAGUGAAAGCCUGCUGGGAGGGAAGAGACAAGAAAAGAAUGAGGAAUUCUGAAAGCAAAUGAAGAUGAAAGAAUAUAUAGCUAUGCAAAUUCAUGGGUCCAAGAACUGAAGUUUGAAGAAAUAUGAGAUCUUGAAAGAAUGAAUUAUUGUGUUGCUUCUUCUUCUUCUUGUUUAACUACAAAUUAUGGUAUUACUGCUUCAUCGUCCUCUAGAGUAAGAACAGAACAUCUAGAAGAAGAAGAACAAGAACA